This 356-nucleotide ribosomal RNA is filed under the name uncultured bacterium. Its description in RNAcentral is "partial 16S ribosomal RNA". It matches the Rfam family "Bacterial small subunit ribosomal RNA", at positions 338 to 691 of the family's 1533-position model. The record is from RNAcentral.
CCUACGGGGGGCAGCAGUGAGGAAUAUUGGUCAAUGGACGGAAGUCUGAACCAGCCAUGCCGCGUGCAGGAAGACGGCUCUAUGAGUUGUAAACUGCUUUUGUACAAGGGUAAACCUGAAUACGUGUAGACAGCUGAAAGUACGGUACGAAUAAGGAUAGGCUAACUCCGUGCCAGCAGCCGCGGUAAGACGGAGGAUCCAAGCGUUAUCCUGAUUUGUUGGGUUUAAAGGGGGCGUAGGCGGCUUGAUAAGUUAGAGGUGAAAUGUCCGAGCUUAACUCGGGAACUGCCUCUACUACUGUUGAUCUAGAUUGUAGCUGCGGUAGGCGGAAUGUAUGGUGUAGCUGUGAAAUUCUU